GCGUCCGUCUGUCCUGCGGUUUCCACCUGUCCUGUGCAGCCGGGUUUGGGCGGGAAGUGUCCGUCUGUCCCACAUUGUCCAUCCUACAGCAUCUGUCUGUCCUGCAGCGGACAGGAGGCGUCCGUCUGUCCCGCAGCGUUUGUCUGUCCUGCAGUGGGGUUCAGGCAGGCGGUGUCUGUCCGUCCCGUAUUGGGGCCGGGCAGGAGGCAUCUGUCCAUCCCGCAGUGUCCGUCCGUCCGUCCCGCUGCCGUCAGUCCCUGAGCGCCGUUUCUCCCCCGCAGAUUUUCCGCUCGCUGCCGCCGGGUUACAACAUCAGCAAGGCGGUGCUGGAGCAAUGCCUGGCGCUCAUGGCCGACGACCCGGUGAGCCUGUGGGUGCUGGGGGAUCCUGUGGGUGCUGGGGGAUCCUAUGGGGUGCUGUGGGAUGCUAUGGGUGCUGUGGGAUCCUAUGGGUGCUGUGGGAUCCUAUGGGGCGCUGUGGGAUGCUAUGGGUGCUGUGGGAUGCUAUGGGUGCUGUGGGAUGCUAUGGGUGCUGUGGNNNNNNNNNNNNNNNNNNNNNNNNNGGGCUGUGGGAUCCUGUGGGUGCUGGGGGAUCCUGUGGGUGCUGGGGGAUCCUAUGGGGUGCUGUGAGAUUCUGUGGGGCGCUGUGGGAUCCUGUGGGUGCUGUGGAAUCCUGUGGGGGGCUGUGGGGCGCUGUGAGGUGCUGUGAGAUCCUAUGGGUGCUGUGGGGUGCUGUGAGAUCCUGUGGGCACUGUGGGAUCCUAUGGGUGCUGUGGGAUCCUACACGGGGCUGUGGGAGGCUGUGAGAUGCUAUGGGGCACUGUGGGAUCCUGUGGGCGCUGUGGGAUCCUAUGGGUGGUGUGGGAUCCUAUGGGGCGCUGUGAGAUGCUGUGGGGG
RNAcentral lists this long non-coding RNA (896 nucleotides) under Phasianus colchicus (ring-necked pheasant). RNAcentral describes it as "lncRNA (ENSPCLG00000016707.1)". The record is from RNAcentral. Lineage: Eukaryota; Metazoa; Chordata; Aves; Galliformes; Phasianidae.